Molecule: long non-coding RNA, 361 nt
Organism: Leptidea sinapis
Lineage: Eukaryota; Metazoa; Arthropoda; Insecta; Lepidoptera; Pieridae
Exons: 3
Source: RefSeq, a predicted model, not a curated record
UUUUACGUAAACAUGUGUCAACAAUGACGUCACUUAAUUGGUCCGGCCACACAUGGAGUAUUGCUGUCAUCUCUGGUCUGGCGCACCCCAGUAUCAGCUCGAUCUAUUUGGCCGCGUGCAACGCAGAGCAGCUCGAAUUGUCGUGGACCCAGUGCUCUGUGAACGGCUGGAUCACUUGGCGUUGCGUAGAGACGUCACGUCAUUGUGUGUCUUCUACCGCAUUUAUCACGUCUACAGGCACCACCCGCACGCCUGGUGGCCCGAAACUUAGGGGAUAAACGACGAGAACAUUAAGAAGAACGAGAGUCUUGUUCCAGACUUCAGUGAAUCAAGCUUCUGAGGAUGCCUCGUGUAGAGAAAA